UACGAAGGGUGCAAACGUUGCUCGGAAUCAUUGGGCGUAAAGCGCACGUAGGCGGCUUCGCAAGUCGGAUGUGAAAUCCCUCGGCUCAACCGAGGACGUGCAUCCGAAACUGCGGAGCUUGAGUACUGAAGAGGAUCGCGGAAUUCCCGGUGUAGAGGUGAAAUUCGUAGAUAUCGGGAGGAACACCAGUGGCGAAGGCGGCGAUCUGGGCAGUUACUGACGCUGAGGUGCGAAAGCGUGGGGAGCAAACCGG
RNAcentral lists this ribosomal RNA (253 nucleotides) under uncultured bacterium. Its description in RNAcentral is "partial 16S ribosomal RNA". It matches the Rfam family "Bacterial small subunit ribosomal RNA", at positions 524 to 776 of the family's 1533-position model. The record is from RNAcentral.